RNAcentral lists this ribosomal RNA (468 nucleotides) under uncultured bacterium. Its description in RNAcentral is "partial 16S ribosomal RNA". It matches the Rfam family "Bacterial small subunit ribosomal RNA", at positions 28 to 507 of the family's 1533-position model. The record is from RNAcentral.
GACGAACGCUGGCGGCGUGCUUAACACAUGCAAGUCGAACGGAAAGGCCCUGCUUUUGUGGGGUGCUCGAGUGGCGAACGGGUGAGUAACACGUGAGUAACCUGCCCUUGACUUGGGGAUAACUGCAGGAAACUGGGGCUAAUACCGGAUAGGAGCUCCUGCUGCAUGGGGGGGGUUGGAAAGUUUCGGCGGUUGGGGAUGGACGCGCGGCUUAUCAGCUUGUUGGGGGGGUAGUGGCUUACCAAGGCUUUGACGGGUAGCCGGCAUGGGAGGGUGACCGGCCACAUUGGGACUGAGAUACGGCCCAGAGUCCUACGGGAGGCAGCAGUGGGGAAUAUUGCACAAUGGGCGGACGCCUGAUGCAGCAACGCCGCGUGCGGGAUGACGGCCUUCGGGUUGUAAACCGCUUUCGCCUGUGACGAAGCGUGAGUGACGGUAAUGGGUAAAGAAGCACCGGCUAACUACGUG